UACGGAGGAUCCAAGCGUUAUCCGGAUUUAUUGGGUUUAAAGGGUGCGUAGGCGGAUUGAUAAGUUAGAGGUGAAAUGUCCGAGCUCAACUCGGGAACUGCCUCUAAUACUGUUGAUCUAGAGAGUAGAUGCGGUAGGCGGAAUGUAUGGUGUAGCGGUGAAAUGCUUAGAGAUCAUACAGAACACCGAUUGCGAAGGCAGCUUACCAAUCUAUAUCUGACGCUGAGGCUCGAAAGCGUGGGGAGCAAACAGG
This 253-nucleotide ribosomal RNA is filed under the name uncultured bacterium. RNAcentral describes it as "partial 16S ribosomal RNA". It matches the Rfam family "Bacterial small subunit ribosomal RNA", at positions 524 to 776 of the family's 1533-position model. The record is from RNAcentral.